This 480-nucleotide ribosomal RNA is filed under the name uncultured bacterium. RNAcentral describes it as "partial 16S ribosomal RNA". It matches the Rfam family "Bacterial small subunit ribosomal RNA", at positions 28 to 507 of the family's 1533-position model. The record is from RNAcentral.
GACGAACGCUGGCGGCGUGCUUAACACAUGCAAGUCGAACGAUGAAGAAAAGAAUCGAAGCUUCGGCAGAAAUUCAUUUCGGAUUAGUGGCAGACGGGUGAGUAACGCGUGAGCAACCUACCUCUUACAAAGGGAUAGCCUCGGGAAACCGGGAUUAAUACCAUAUAACAUUGUGACAAAGCAUUUCGAUGCAAUCAAAGCUACGGCGGUAAGAGAUGGGCUCGCGUCCCAUUAACCGGAUGGUGAGGUAACGGCUCACCAUAGUGACGAUGGGUAACCGGCCUGAGAGGGUGAACGGUCACACUGGAACUGAGACACGGUCCAGACUCCUACGGGAGGCAGCAGUGGGGAAUAUUGCACAAUGGAGGGAACUCUGAUGCAGCGACGCCGCGUGAGUGAUGAAGGAAUUCGUUUCGUAAAACUCUGUUCUAUGGGAAGAAAAGGACUGUACCAUAGGAGAAAGCUCCGGCUAAAUACGUG